Molecule: ribosomal RNA, 460 nt
Filed under: uncultured bacterium
Lineage: Bacteria
Description: partial 16S ribosomal RNA
Rfam family: Bacterial small subunit ribosomal RNA
Source: RNAcentral
CCUACGGGGGGCAGCAGUGAGGAAUAUUGGUCAAUGGGCGCUAGCCUGAACCAGCCAAGUAGCGUGAAGGAUGACUGCCCUAUGGGUUGUAAACUUCUUUUAUAUGGGAAUAAAGUGCAGUAUGUAUACUGCUUUGCAUGUACCUUAUGAAUAAGGAUCGGCUAACUCCGUGCCAGCAGCCGCGGUAAUACGGAGGAUCCGAGCGUUAUCCGGAUUUAUUGGGUUUAAAGGGAGCGUAGGCGUGUUGUUAAGUCAGUUGUGAAAGUUUGCGGCUCAACCGUAAAAUUGCAGUUGAUACUGGCAGCCUUGAGUACAGUAGAGGUAGGCGGAAUUCGUGGUGUAGCGGUGAAAUGCUUAGAUAUCACGAAGAACUCCGAUUGCGAAGGCAGCCUGCUGGACUGUAACUGACGCUGAUGCUCGAAAGUGUGGGUAUCAAACAGGAUUAGAUACCCUAGUAGUC